Molecule: ribosomal RNA, 497 nt
Filed under: uncultured bacterium
Lineage: Bacteria
Description: partial 16S ribosomal RNA
Rfam family: Bacterial small subunit ribosomal RNA
Source: RNAcentral
GAUGAACGCUGGCGGCGUGCCUAAUACAUGCAAGUCGAGCGAACAGACGAGGAGCUUGCUCCUCUGACGUUAGCGGCGGACGGGUGAGUAACACGUGGAUAACCUGCCUAUAAGACUGGGAUAACUUCGGGAAACCGGAGCUAAUACCGGAUAAUAUAUUGAACCGCAUGGUUCAAUAGUGAAAGACGGUUCUGCUGUCACUUAUAGAUGGAUCCGCGCCGCAUUAGCUAGUUGGUAAGGUAACGGCUUACCAAGGCAAUGAUGCGUAGCCGACCUGAGAGGGUGAUCGGCCACACUGGAACUGAGACACGGUCCAGACUCCUACGGGAGGCAGCAGUAGGGAAUCUUCCGCAAAGGGCGAAAGCCUGACGGAGCAACGCCGCGUGAGUGAUGAAGGUCUUCGGAUCGUAAAACUCUGUUAUUAGGGAAGAACAAAUGUGUAAGUAACUAUGCACGUCUUGACGGUACCUAAUCAGAAAGCCACGGCUAACUACGUG